RNAcentral lists this long non-coding RNA (214 nucleotides) under Elaeis guineensis (African oil palm). RNAcentral describes it as "long non-coding RNA (EGUI_LNC010015)". Lineage: Eukaryota; Viridiplantae; Streptophyta; Magnoliopsida; Arecales; Arecaceae. The record is from RNAcentral.
GGACCAAAUUCUAUUAUUGAAAGGCUGUUGUUAUCUAUGUCGAUCCUGAUGACCUCAAAAAAGAUAAACUUUACUUCUCAGAUAUUCAUGUUAACUUCAUAUUUCAUUAAUUUUAGACAUUAACAUUGGAUGAUGUAGAGCAAUUAGUGAUGAUGUGUUGAGCAUCAAUUUAUAUACAUGUUACUUUUUAUUUUUUUUUAUUUUUAUUUAUUGC